GACGAACGCUGGCGGCGUGCCUAAUACAUGCAAGUAGAACGCUGAAGGAGGAGCUUGCUUCUCCGGAUGAGUUGCGAACGGGUGAGUAACGCGUAGGUAACCUGCCUGGUAGCGGGGGAUAACUAUUGGAAACGAUAGCUAAUACCGCAUAACAGUAGAUAUCGCAUGAUAUCUGCUUGAAAGGUGCAAUUGCAUCACUACCAGAUGGACCUGCGUUGUAUUAGCUAGUUGGUGUGGUAACGGCUCACCAAGGCGACGAUACAUAGCCGACCUGAGAGGGGGGUCGGCCACACUGGGACGGAGACACGGCCCAGACUCCUACGGGAGGCAGCAGUAGGGAAUCUUCGGCAAUGGGCGGAAGUCUGACCGAGCAACGCCGCGUGAGGGAAGAAGGGUUUCGGAUCGUAAAGCUCUGUUGUAAGAGAGGAACGAGUGUGAGAGUGGAAAGUUCACACUGUGACGGUAUCUGACCAGAAAGGGACGGCUAACUACGUG
RNAcentral lists this ribosomal RNA (495 nucleotides) under uncultured bacterium. RNAcentral's name for it is "partial 16S ribosomal RNA". It matches the Rfam family "Bacterial small subunit ribosomal RNA", at positions 28 to 507 of the family's 1533-position model. The record is from RNAcentral.